RNAcentral lists this ribosomal RNA (460 nucleotides) under uncultured bacterium. RNAcentral describes it as "partial 16S ribosomal RNA". It matches the Rfam family "Bacterial small subunit ribosomal RNA", at positions 338 to 795 of the family's 1533-position model. The record is from RNAcentral.
CCUACGGGAGGCAGCAGUGAGGAAUAUUGGUCAAUGGGCGAGAGCCUGAACCAGCCAAGUCGCGUGAAGGAUGACGGCCCUACGGGUUGUACACUUCUUUUGUCAGGGAGUAAUUGGCUCCACGCGUGGGCUUAGCGCGAGUACCUGUAGAAAAAGCAUCGGCUAACUCCGUGCCAGCAGCCGCGGUAAUACGGUGGAUGCGAGCGUUAUCCGGAUUUGGUGGGUUUAAGGGUUGUGUGGGAGGAAUAUAAGGUCAGCGUUAACAACUCGGGCCUCAACCCCGUCGUGCCGUUGAAACUGGUGUUCUUGAGUGGGCGAGAAGGAGGCGGAAUGCGUGGUGUAGCGGUGAAAUGCAUAGAUAUCACGCAGAACUCCGAUUGCGAAGGCAGCAUACCGGGGCACAACUGACGCUGAAGCACGAAAGCGUGGGUAUCGAACAGGAUUAGAUACCCUGGUAGUC